This 253-nucleotide ribosomal RNA is filed under the name uncultured prokaryote. RNAcentral's name for it is "partial 16S ribosomal RNA". It matches the Rfam family "Bacterial small subunit ribosomal RNA", at positions 525 to 777 of the family's 1533-position model. The record is from RNAcentral.
ACGUAGGAGGCGAGCGUUAUCCGGAUUCACUGGGCGUAAAGCGCAUGUAGGCGGUCGUCUAAGUCCGCGGUUAAAGCCCCCGGCUCGACUGGGGGAGGUCCGAGGAGACUAGUCAACUUGAGGGCAACAGAGGCACGUGGAACUCCCGGUGUAGCGGUGGAAUGCGUAGAGAUCGGGAAGAACACCAGUGGCGAAGGCGACGUGCUGGGUUGCACCUGACGCUGAGAUGCGAAAGUGUGGGGAGCAAACGGGA